UUCCAGACUCCUACGGGAGGCAGCAGUGGGGAAUAUUGCACAAUGGGGGAAACCCUGAUGCAGCGACGCCGCGUGAGCGAUGAAGUAUUUCGGUAUGUAAAGCUCUAUCAGCAGGGAAGAAGAUGACGGUACCUGACUAAGAAGCCCCGGCUAACUACGUGCCAGCAGCCGCGGUAAUACGUAGGGGGCAAGCGUUAUCCGGAUUUACUGGGUGUAAAGGGAGCGUAGACGGCGAUGCAAGCCAGAUGUGAAAGCCCGGGGCUCAACCCCGGGACUGCAUUUGGAACUGUGUGGCUGGAGUGUCGGAGAGGCAGGCGGAAUUCCUAGUGUAGCGGUGAAAUGCGUAGAUAUUAGGAGGAACACCAGUGGCGAAGGCGGCCUGCUGGACGAUGACUGACGUUGAGGCUCGAAAGCGUGGGGAGCAAACAGGAUUAGAUACCCGAGUAAG
Molecule: ribosomal RNA, 448 nt
Filed under: uncultured bacterium
Lineage: Bacteria
Description: bacterial SSU rRNA
Rfam family: Bacterial small subunit ribosomal RNA
Source: RNAcentral